UACGUAGGCAGCAAGCGUUGUUCGGAGUUACUGGGCGUAAAGGGUGUGUAGGCGGUUGUUUAAGUUUGGUGUGAGAUCUCCCGGCUCAACUGGGAGGGUGCGCCGAAUACUGAAUGACUUCGAGUGCGGGAGAGGAAAGUGGAAUUCCUGGUGUAGCGGUGAAAUGCGUAGAUAUCAGGAGGAACACCGGUGGUGUAGACGGCUUUCUGGACCGUAACUGACGCUGAGGCACGAAAGCUGGGGGAGCGAACAGG
This 254-nucleotide ribosomal RNA is filed under the name uncultured bacterium. RNAcentral describes it as "partial 16S ribosomal RNA". It matches the Rfam family "Bacterial small subunit ribosomal RNA", at positions 524 to 776 of the family's 1533-position model. The record is from RNAcentral.